CCGCAUAAGACCACGGACCGGCAUCGGUCAGAGGUCAAAGGAGGAAUCCGCUUUGGGAGGGGUUCGCGUCCCAUUAGGUAGUUGGUGAGGUAACGGCCCACCAAGCCGACGAUGGGUAGCCGAGCUGAGAGGCUGAUCGGCCACAUCGGGACUGAGACACGGCCCGGACUCCUACGGGAGGCAGCAGUCGGGAAUAUUGGACAAUGGGCGCAAGCCUGAUCCAGCAAUACCGCGUGUGUGAAGAAGGCCUGCGGGUUGUAAAGCACUUUCAGUUGGGAAGAUAAUGACGUUACCAACAGAAGAAGCACCGGCUAACUCCGUGCCAGCAGCCGCGGUAAUACGGAGGGUGCAAGCGUUAAUCGGAAUUACUGGGCGUAAAGCGUGCGUAGGCGGCCUGUUAAGUCAGAUGUGAAAGCCCCGGGCUUAACCUGGGAACUGCAUCUGAUACUGGGGGGCUAGAAUGUGGGAGAAGAGAGUGGAAUUUCCGGUGUAGCGGUGAAAUGCAUAGAGAUCGGAAGGAACACCAGUGGCGAA
RNAcentral lists this ribosomal RNA (534 nucleotides) under uncultured bacterium. RNAcentral's name for it is "bacterial SSU rRNA". It matches the Rfam family "Bacterial small subunit ribosomal RNA", at positions 169 to 719 of the family's 1533-position model. The record is from RNAcentral.